GGGGAUAUAGCUCAGUUGGUAGAGUGCUUGUCUCACAUGCAUAAGGUCCUGGGUUCAAUCCCCAAUACCA
RNAcentral lists this transfer RNA (70 nucleotides) under Ictidomys tridecemlineatus (thirteen-lined ground squirrel). RNAcentral's name for it is "Spermophilus tridecemlineatus (thirteen-lined ground squirrel) tRNA". It matches the Rfam family "tRNA". Rfam says of the family: Transfer RNA (tRNA) molecules are approximately 80 nucleotides in length. RNAcentral also lists the same sequence under 1 other name. The record is from Rfam by way of RNAcentral. Lineage: Eukaryota; Metazoa; Chordata; Mammalia; Rodentia; Sciuridae.